UCAGGAGUGGGCAGGAGGAGGAGUAUAGGAACCUUAUCAAGGACUUUGUUAAAUGGUGCGACUCAAACCACCUACACCUGAACACCAGCAAAACCAAGGAGCUGGUGGUGGAUUUUAGGAGGCCCAGGCCCCUCAUGGACCCCGUGAUCGUCAGAGGUGACUGUGUGCAGAGUGUACAGACCUAUAAAUACCUGGGAGUGCAGCUGGAUGAUAAAUUAGACAGGACUGCCAAUACUGACUGCGGUGGGUUGGCACCCUGCCCAGGAUUGGUUCCUGUCUUGUGCCCUGUGUUGGCUGGGAUUGGCUCCAGCAGACCCCCGUGACCCUGUGUUCGGAUUCAGCGGGUUGGAUAAUGGAUGGAUGGAUGCCAAUACUGAUGCUCUGUGUAAGAGAGGAAAGAGCCGGCUGUACUUCCUUAGAAGACUGGCGUCCUCCAACAUCUGCAAUAAGAUGCUGCAGAUGUUCUAUCAGACGGUUGUGGCGAGCACCCUCUUCUAAGCAGUGGUGUGCUGGGGAGGCAGCAUUAAGAAGAGGGACGCCUCACGCCUGGACAAACUGGUGAGGAAGGCAGGCUCUAUUGUAGGCACGGAGCUAGACAGUUCAACAUUCGUGGCAGAGCAACGGGCCCUGAGCAGGCUCCUGUCAAUCAUGGAGAAUCCACUGCAUCCACUGAAAAGUAUCAUCUCCAGACAGAAGAGCAGCUUCAGCAACAGACUGCUGUCACUGUCCUGCUCCACUGACAGACUGAGGAGAUCGUUUCUCCCCCAAACUAUGCGACUCUUCAAUUCCACCCGGGGGAUCAACAGAAGAUUAAUCCUUCUUUUCCAACCCAGUCCCAGUGGUUAACAUCUCCUCCAGCUCCUCAUAAAAAUAUCACUUCCAACUCCCCCCUUCCGACCAGCCAUGAUGAUGUCACUUUCCGAUCCACUCUUGAUAACAUCAGCCAUGAUGAUGUCACUUCCGGCCAACCCUUGAUGACAUCACUUCCGGCCAGUCAUGAUGACGUCAAUUCUGUUCUGCUCUCAACUUCCUUCCUGCUGCCAUUAUUUAAAUGGCUUUGAAUCUCUAUCUCUUGUUGAUCCAUCCUCUGCUGAUGCCAUGCAGUGUACCUUCAAGGCCGUCGGUCGAUGUGUUGUGAGGAGGAGGGCUGUUCGCACGUGUCGUCAAAAAUCGCGCAGAAGAAGACCUCCGGUUUCACACAACGAAAAUGCGUGUUUUGUUGUUUCUGAGCUAUAACACUUUCAUUAUUUGAUUCACAAAUAAAUCGAGAAAAGUAUGUGUAAUUUUAAGUUUAUGACUGCUAUUUGUUACCACAGAAUUAAAAAAUACCUUAUUUUCCCUCA
This is a long non-coding RNA of Erpetoichthys calabaricus (reedfish), 1343 nucleotides long. RefSeq lists it as uncharacterized. The transcript is spliced from 2 exons. Lineage: Eukaryota; Metazoa; Chordata; Cladistia; Polypteriformes; Polypteridae. The record is from RefSeq and is a predicted model, not a curated record.